CCUGGAAACAGAUGCUAAUACCGGAUAACAACAGAUGAUGCCUAUCAACUGUUUAAAAGAUGGUUCUGCUAUCACUCUUGGAUGGACCUGCGGUGCAUUAGCUAGUUGGUAGGGUAACGGCCUACCAAGGCGAUGAUGCAUAGCCGAGUUGAGAGACUGAUCGGCCACAUUGGGACUGAGACACGGCCCAAACUCCUACGGGAGGCAGCAG
This 211-nucleotide ribosomal RNA is filed under the name uncultured Lactobacillus sp. RNAcentral's name for it is "partial 16S ribosomal RNA". It matches the Rfam family "Bacterial small subunit ribosomal RNA", at positions 149 to 354 of the family's 1533-position model. The record is from RNAcentral. Lineage: Bacteria; Bacillati; Bacillota; Bacilli; Lactobacillales; Lactobacillaceae.